AUUGCUAAUUACUGUAACACGAUUUACAAAUGUCUACUGAUGUUCAUCAUGGUGGAGGAGGGCGAGGAGGAGGGCGAGGAGGAGGCAGAGGAGGGGGACGAGGAGGAGGACGAGGAGGAGGACGAGGAGGUCAUGGACAUGGAACUACUCACUAUAAUACGCUGAUGGCUUCUUCAAAAACAGAACUACAACAACUUCUGGUAGCUGCACAGCGAUAUGCUCAGCAAGAAGACGAUGGAAAUGAGUUCUUUUGGGGUGUCAUUGUGCACACAAUCCAAGAACUAAUUAAGCAUGCCAAGCACUAGAUUUACGGAGAUGGUGGUUGAUACUAAUGCCUUCUUUGAAAUCUGACAUUGGACCUCUCGCUACCCAGAUCUUUCUUUUUAUGUAUUAGUACAUGUAUACCAGUGUGAUUGUUUGAUAACCACGCAGUAAACAAAAAUAACACAAA
This is a long non-coding RNA of Ostrea edulis (European flat oyster), 451 nucleotides long. RefSeq lists it as uncharacterized. The transcript is spliced from 3 exons. The record is from RefSeq and is a predicted model, not a curated record. Lineage: Eukaryota; Metazoa; Mollusca; Bivalvia; Ostreida; Ostreidae.